This is a non-coding RNA of Arachis ipaensis, 1254 nucleotides long. The record is from RefSeq and is a predicted model, not a curated record. Lineage: Eukaryota; Viridiplantae; Streptophyta; Magnoliopsida; Fabales; Fabaceae.
GGCAAAGCUUAAUUUUUUUCCCCUUAAUUUUUCCUUUUCUAGUUCUUACAUGUAUUUGAAGACUUCCAUGCUACUUCCUUACUUUGCUUUCUUCUUUCUGUUUUUGUAUUUUUCCCACUAUUUUCCCCUUUUUUUCACACCGCCUUUUCAUUUGUGUGGUUUGGGAUCUCAUGGAGCUCCAGUCUUAGCUUGCCCAACUAAUUUUUGUUGUGCCUGCUUCUUGGCAUGUUGAGGAUUUUGCGAGUUUUCUUUUUUAUUUGAUUUUUGAAACUGUUGUUAUGAAUUGUAUGAGUAAUUGUGUAUAAUCCUUUUCAUAAAGAAAAGGGAAGGGUUAUGCCUACUACAGUGAGUAUCAGAAAUUAGAUCUGUGUUUUAAGUAUGAACUGAAAGCUUUCAAUUUGGUGUUAGUAACAUCCCUUAUCUCUUUAUAUGGUUUAGUGAUUUUAGUAACUCGUAAUUUCCAUUUUCCAUUUUCCAUUUCUCCUUCUUCUUCUUAAUUCUCUUGUAUAACCAACCCAAACCUUGAUGAUCUUGGUUGCUAUAGUCUCAUAGGUGAUGUUGGAAUAGUUUUAUUUUUCUAUGAUAAUUUACUGAGAGUUAAAAUUUGUCCAAUUUUUGGAGAUAAUAAAUUUAUUUAAGGGUUAAUGCAGAUAAUUAACUGAAGUGUUGAAGCCAAUUUAUAUCCUGGUGCAAUAAUUUCGACACUUCAAAUUACAGAGACAAUUGGAUACUUACUUUCUCCUUGCUCACAUGUGCUCUGUCAAGCUUAAAGAAUGGACGCUUGUCCUGCUUACUCUGUUAAGAAGUUCUAAGGUACGCUUGGAUUCAUUGACAUGAUUGCAACAGCAACGGUGUUAAAAUAAAUGGUGUUUUUUGACUUAUUCAGACAUGAUGUUUGGCUGUGAAAAGCAUGCAGCACCACACUGCAGACUCAUUCAAGAUUUAUUGGAAGAGAAAAACUUUGCAAUGAUGGAAGAUAUAUGAAGGUGAAUGCAGACUUCAUCUUUGCUCGAUAUACAUCAUGUUUUCAUGCUGACAAAGUUAUAUGUUCGAGUGAUUUCCUUCACGUGGAUCUACUUGAAAGAUCUGAUGGGUUUUAUUCAAACAUAUGGACCAUGGUUAACCAUGGUUUUCAUCACAAGUCAUUUUUCUGGUGCUAAUCUCAUGAAUAUGCCAUAGUUUGUGUGGUCAGACAAGUGCAUAUAUUUUUGAGUUGUGGAUAAUUCUCUUCAUUUUUCCAUCCAAAUUUUGUAA